RNAcentral lists this ribosomal RNA (914 nucleotides) under Bipolaris zeae. RNAcentral describes it as "LSU rRNA". It matches the Rfam family "Eukaryotic large subunit ribosomal RNA", at positions 34 to 966 of the family's 3401-position model. Lineage: Eukaryota; Fungi; Ascomycota; Dothideomycetes; Pleosporales; Pleosporaceae. The record is from RNAcentral.
CUAAGCAUAUCAAUAAGGGGAGGAAAAGAAACCAACAGGGAUUGCCCUAGUAACGGCGAGUGAAGCGGCAACAGCUCAAAUUUGAAAUCUGGCUCUUUCAGAGUCCGAGUUGUAAUUUGCAGAGGGCGCUUUGGCUUUGGCAGCGGUCCAAGUUCCUUGGAACAGGACGUCACAGAGGGUGAGAAUCCCGUACGUGGUCGCUAGCUAUUGCCGUGUAAAGCCCCUUCGACGAGUCGAGUUGUUUGGGAAUGCAGCUCUAAAUGGGAGGUAAAUUUCUUCUAAAGCUAAAUAUUGGCCAGAGACCGAUAGCGCACAAGUAGAGUGAUCGAAAGAUGAAAAGCACUUUGGAAAGAGAGUCAAACAGCACGUGAAAUUGUUGAAAGGGAAGCGCUUGCAGCCAGACUUGCUUGCAGUUGCUCAUCCGGGCUUUUGCCCGGUGCACUCUUCUGUAGGCAGGCCAGCAUCAGUUUGGGCGGUGGGAUAAAGGUCUCUGUCACGUACCUCUCUUCGGGGAGGCCUUAUAGGGGAGACGACAUACCACCAGCCUAGACUGAGGUCCGCGCAUCUGCUAGGAUGCUGGCGUAAUGGCUGUAAGCGGCCCGUCUUGAAACACGGACCAAGGAGUCUAACAUCUAUGCGAGUGUUUGGGUGUCAAGCCCGAGCGCGUAAUGAAAGUGAACGGAGGUGGGAACCCGCAAGGGUGCACCAUCGACCGAUCCUGAAGUUUACGGAAGGAUUUGAGUAAGAGCAUGGCUGUUGGGACCCGAAAGAUGGUGAACUAUGCUUGAAUAGGGUGAAGCCAGAGGAAACUCUGGUGGAGGCUCGCAGCGGUUCUGACGUGCAAAUCGAUCGUCAAAUUUGGGCAUAGGGGCGAAAGACUAAUCGAACUAUCUAGUAGCUGGUUCCUGCCGAAG